UUGGAGAGGAACGUUGGGUGCGUUCCCGGAGCAACAGGGAAGAUGGCAGCCCUCACAUCUCUAACCCAGUUGUCAAGUGGGAACCCUGUAUAUGAGAACUUUUACAGGCAGGUGGAUCCUGGGAAUACAGGGAGAGUAGGACCAACAGAAGCUGCUCUUUUCUUAAAAAAGUCUGGACUCCCUGACCUUACUUUGGGAAAGAUCUGGGAUUUGGCUGAUCCUGAUGGCAAAGGCUACUUGGACAAACAGGGGUUUUAUGUGGCUCUACGACUGGUUGCCUGUGCUCAGAACAGUCUGGAAGUCAGCUUGUCCAGUCUCAGCCUAACAGUCCCUCCUCCGAAGUUUAAGGACACCAGCAGUCCAUCUCUAAGCAGCACAGCCUCUGUUCCUGGUGAAUCGCACUGGGCUGUCAGGCCAGAGGAGAAGAAUAAAUUUGAUGGGAUUUUUGAAAGUCUGGCUCCAGUCAACGGCCUGCUGUCAGGAGAGAAAGUCCGCCCAGUCUUAAUCAACUCCAAGCUACCUCUGGAUGUCCUUGGGAAGGUUUGGGACCUGAGUGACAUAGACAAGGAUGGCCAUCUAGACAAAGAUGAGUUUGCAGUGGCCAUGCACCUGGUGUACCGGGCCUUGGAAAAAGAGCCUGUUCCUGCACUCCUCCCCUCUGCUCUCAUCCCUCCAUCUAAGAGGAAGAAGAGUCUCAGCUCUGUGGCCAGCUCUUUACCUGGACUGCCUGCAAGCCCUCCUCCACCUAAAGAUUCUCUACGUUCCACACCCUCCCACGGCAGCAUGAACUCACUUAACAGCACUGGCAGCCUGUCACCCAAACACACACUCAAGUCUGGACAGCAUUCAGUGAACUGGGUGGUCCCUGUGUCAGAACGUGGCCGCUAUGACGAUAUCUUCCUGAAGACGGAUGCUGACAUGGAUGGUUUUGUCAGUGGACAGGAAGUAAAGGAGAUCUUCAUGCAAUCUGGACUUUCUCAGACUCUUCUUGCCCAUAUAUGGGCUUUAGCAGAUACAAGGCAGAUAGGCAAGCUGACCAGGGAGCAGUUUGCCCUCGCCAUGCAUCUUAUCCAGCAGAAAGUCAGUAAGGGCAUUGAUCCUCCACAAGCCCUGACUGCUGAUAUGAUUCCACCUUCUGAAAGAGGCACUCCACUACCGAGUAUGUCAGGAUACAUUACUCCAGUGGGAUCUGAGAUGGCUGCUCUGUCAGAAAUGAGGCGGGACAGCUCUAGUUCAGUGGGUUCAGGAGAGUUCACUGGCAUCAAGGAGUUGGAUGACAUCAGCCAGGAGAUAGCUCAGCUGCAAAGGGAGAAGUACACUCUUGAGCAGGACAUCAGGGAAGCAGAGGAGGCUAUCAGACAUAAGAGUGCUGAGGUGCAGGAAAUGCAGAAUGACCUGGACAGAGAGACAACCAGCCUGCAGGAGUUAGAAGCUCAGAAACAAGAUGCCCAGGACCGCCUGGAGGAGAUGGAUCAGCAGAAACACAAAUUAGAAGACAUGUUGAAUGAAGUCCGGAUGAAGUGCCAGGAAGAGUCUCAGAUGAUCUCAAGCCUCCAGACUCAAAUCCACUCCCAGGAGUCAGACUUGCUAAACCAGGAAGAAGAGUUGAGCCGGGCCAAGGCUGACCUGGGCCGGCUGCAACAAGAGGAGAAUCAGCUGGAGCAAAGCCUGGCCGCAGGCAAGAUUCAACUAGAGACCAUCAUCAAGUCUCUGAAAGCAACCCAGGAUGAGAUCAACCAGGCUCGCAGCAAGCUGUCACAGAUUCAAGAUAGUCAACAGGAAGUGUCUAAAAGCAUUGAGCAGUACAACAGCACCUUGAAUGGAAACCAUGGAGGCAGCAUGACCAACUUGGCUGACAUGAGUGAAGGCUUCAGUGACCGAGAGAAUGGAGGAUUUCCAGCCAUGGUGAGAGCAGUACAGGAGGACCCAUUCAAAGUGAAGCCAUCUGUGUUUAACAGUCAACCUCAAGGGCUUCCCACUGACCCCUUCCAGUCUGAAGACCCCUUCAAAACAGACCCAUUCAAAGGUGACCCUUUUCAGAAUGAUCCUUUUGCAAAGCAGCCAUCAGUACCCACAGAUCCAUUUGGAGGAGACCCCUUCAAAGAGACAGACCCAUUCAAGGCUUCAUCAGAAGACUUCUUCAAGAAAACCACAAAGAUGGAUCCCUUCUCCACACCAGACCCUUUCAGUAAAAGUGCCACUUUACCCUCCAAGCAACCUACUACCUUCACAAGCAGUGACCCAUUUUCUUCAAGCCAUCAAAAACCUAAAGGAUCAGACCUCUUUGGCACACUGGACCCGUUUGGCAGCAGUUCAUUCAACAGCAGUAACACUUCUGUUGGAUUUGCAGACUUCAGCCACAUGUCGAAGUCCAGAGACCCUUUUGAAGGAAGGGCCACCUGGCUUCCAGACUACCAGAAGCCAGUGUUUGUGGAUGACCCAUUCAGCAGGAAGAAUGACAUGCCGGCUCUGCCUCCAAAGAAAAGUGUUCCCCCCAGGCCCAAGCCACCCAGUGGUAAGACCACGCCAGUGAACAUGACUGGUUCAUCUGACUCUUCCAAACCCUGUGAUCCUUUCAAACCAUUCAGUGGCGAGGUCAUUGACCCUUUUCAGAGUAAAAAGGGCCUGGGAGACCCAUUCAGCGGCAAAGACCCUUUUGUCUCAUCCUCAGCAUCAAGACCUGACAAAGUCAAGUUUGGAAACGAGGCUCAGCAGUUGGAAUGGGCUAAACGUGAAAGCGAGCGUGCAGAACGUGAGCGGCUGAAGAGACUCAGACAGCAGGAACAGGAGGACCUGGAACUCGCCAUUGCCCUCAGUAAAGCAGAGAUGUCCAAUGCAUGACCUGGAGGUCCCACUACAUGUGAAUACUUGUAUAGCCAUAGUGAGGCUAACCUGCAGACAAAGUAUUACGUUUGCCACCCAUCACAGACGCUCCCUUCCUCUGGCUCAUCAUUUCAGUUUGAAAAGAAAUCUUUUAACCUGGCAGUGUUUAAGGUAGAAUGUUUAUUGGCUUAUGAAGACAUAAAAGUAACAGGAGCUGAGAGAAGCUUUAUGCAUUACACUGGUUUCCUCUAAUGUGAUAACUACCUAAUGAAUGAAAAUAACUAUGUCAGGAUAUCGACAUAUUCUUUGGAGUGAGAGUAACGUACUGUAAAAAUAUUCUUCCCGUUUUCAUGAGAGAGGUCAUCGUGUAAAGAGUCCUCUGCACUGACCUGUAGUGCUGUAUAUAGACAGAGCCUAUGCCUCUUCUUGACAACUGUACUCUGAUCACAAUGAUGUGAUAUCAUACCACAUCCAGCAAAUGAAAUAAAAGAUGAGGGAAUUAAUUUUCCAUAUUUUCAACUAGUCUGUUUUUUAUCGAUUAUUUUUUAGAAACUGAUGGUUUUAGCACUGUUUUCAGUUGAUGACUACAGAACAGCAAACACAAGUUGCAGAUAGAUUUCUGACUGGCUGGAAACUGGAUAUUGAAGAGUGCUAAUUCUUAUGUGACAUAGUUUGAUGUUCCAUAACAGCUCACUUUGUUUAUUUUAGGAGUUGUCUCUUGACUUGAACUAUCAACCAACGCUUAAGGGAGACAGAAAUAAGUUGUUUCUAGAGUUUUGUUUUGUUUUUUAUCUGGAAUUUUUUUUUUAAAAACUGUCCCAAAAAACAGAUUUCGUUGAACUUAACUUCUGAGCUGUUACUGCAAAGCAAAGCUUACUGAUGUGAUCUUUAUACUGUAACAUUGCACUGGAUGUAUUCUGAUGGAACCUAAAAAUGUUUCAGUCAUUCUGAAAUCACUUCAGAUUUGUUGAAAUUUAAUGAAAAUAUAAACUCCUUCUAAUAACAGAAAACACUGGCAUACAUUCUGCUUGACUUGAAGUUUAAUACAUAAAAAAAUGUACUGAAAUGUUCAGGUUGCGUCAGAUUUCAAUCCAAAACUAUGAUGGGAUGGUCCCAAAUAACAGCUGGGGGUGUGUAAAGGCUCUGAAAGUGGCUUUGUACUGAGUGAUAUGACAGAAUGACCUCAAAUAAGUGUUACACUUGCUUUUCCGCUCAUCGCAUUGAAAAAAAAAAUGCUGGUACUAAUGUGGUUACUUUCAUGACUGCAACAUUGAAUUGUUUGUUUUUUUCUUCCCAGAUGUCAGACAUGUUGAAACCGCUUUCCAGGGGUCAACAUUACAUAAAUCCUUGUAAUGUGAAUUCACCAAAAUAGGAGUGAAAAGUGAAGUUAAGGUUGAUAAUGCACCCUUGAUUCUGCGAGUAAGAAGUGUAAACUGCCUCUCUCAGCUUUUUUUUAUGUUUACACAUCAAGAGUGUUUCCUUUACUAUAGCUGUUACUGAGCGGUGUCCUUAGUAUGUGAUAAACCUGCCUUCAUCUACUUCUCAGUCAUAAAACACAUGUUGGCUUUUAAGUCUCUGCCGUGAGUAGAAGCCCCCUCGUGUCCGUCCGUUUUCUCCGUUUAAAUAAAACUGUUCAUGAGCUUCUACCGAGCUAGCAGGUCGUCAGCUACACACUUGUUUUCACUGCAUUAUAAAAAGUUACAGUUGACUUAAUUGGUAUCGAGUAAAAAGCUUAUAGUGUGGUAUACUAGAAGUUGAAUAAAAAGCUAUGUGUAUUAUCUAAAAGGUGCAGUAUGUUCAAUAUCUUACUGCAGAAUUGUUUGCCCUUGUUUUCCACAGUGGCUAGUGGUGUUACUUUUGUUUAUUAACCAUAUUUCUUUAAUUCUUACAGCACAUUGACAUCAGAUCAAGCAUGUAUUCCAAUAGCAGUCACCUAACAACUCAUCUACACUAGCUUGAGAAGCAAUGUGAUCUAAGCUUCUUGCUUGAGGCAUCUCUAAACUUGUCACUGCUAAUUGUGACAUAAUAGUCUAACUGCUUCGUUAAGGUGAAGGUUCUUGUUUCAAAUCUCCUUUGAGCUGGCCCCUCACAGGUGGAGUUUGACUUUUCAGCUUCCUGCCACAGUUCAAAGACAUGGUUGGUUUGACUUCUACAUAGGCUGUGAUUUUCACACAAAUAUGCUUCAUAACCUAACAUGCUGUAUACCACGGAGGUCACAAUGUGGGAGAUUUGCAUGUGUUACUGAGCCUGAACAAAGUCUGUAUAGAUACAGUUAGAGGACUGAAGCUUUUGCUAUGCUUCUUAUAACUAUGUGGAACCCACACUGGCUUAAGUGCUAUAGAAGUUUAUUUUUCCCAGAACUAAAGAGAGUGUGUAUGUGGAUGGCUCAGCUGAAUUUUGAAAGCAAAACGUGGAAUCGUUCUGUAUAUUAUAGGGCAGAGAGGUGCGUUAUCUUUAUAGCACAGCUGACAUUCUGUGGCGGUGUAUAUACUUCAACAAGCUAGGAUGUGAUAUGGUCACACAGUAUAACUAGCAACAUGUAGGAGACAGAGGGACCUGUGAUUAUGCCAACACACUCCUUGAGAAGUAGGGUUGGGCAGCAUUUCUAUGGGUUUAAUUCUGACAUUCUGCACCAAUGCUGAAAACAAAACUUGAAAUAUUUCAAAAUUCAGAAAUUGGAGUAUGUGGUGAGAUGGAACGACAUGCACAUUAUCAUUAGCACCAAGAACUAGCAGCACUCGAUACCCAGUCCUUCUGUAAAGGGCUGCAUGUGAUGUGUGUCUGCAAUCACCCCGUCUGCUGUGUACUGCUUAGAGUGCUGUGUUAACGGACUGGUACCAUUGUUCAUACUGUAUUUGUCAUUAGAUACCUCCAUUGUGCAAUAGAUAUGUUUCUUUUAUUGUUGUUUUAUGUAUAGUCUGAAAGAAGUCUAAUUUUUUUAUAUGUUGUGUAUGUUUUUAAUGUAAUUAUUUAUGUAUCCACAGCCAGCCACUCUUCUGACCUGAUUUUCUUCCAAGCAUCAAAAGCCUUUUAUUGCAAAAUCCUUUUUUUUUUUUUUUUUGAGGAAGAGCAAGUAAACAUAAUGUUAAUUACUAAAUGUUAUUAAAAUAUCAACAGUGUUAGCAGUUAAAAAUAAAUAUCAGCUGAUGAUUGAUGAUAAGUGUCAAAAUUACAGCUUAACAGUUUCUUUGUUUUUAAUGUUCAUUUUAUCAGAAUGGUUCAUGUUUUCUUGUAGUGUGAAACCACUGAGUUCUGUCUUUGCUGGCAUGCUGAUGCGUAAUAUUAAGCAGGCAAAACGAAUUCAUUGUGUCAUUCGUCAUUUUUUUGAUUUCUUUUCUAACUCUUGUUGUUGUUGCUCUCUCUGCUAUCGACAAAUUAUUCAGCGCUGUUUUUAUAAAAAUGCAUACAGUGCGUGUACGGUCUCUGUAGUAUCAUGUCUGGUAUAUGUGUCCUAACAGCAUAAACAAACGAACCAGUGAAUUUUAGAGGAAAACAUUUGGAACAACGGCUAGAGAACAGAGGUUUACCUAGAAAAGUGAGGAUCUAUAUGGUCUCUAUAUGGUCUGUACUGUUUACUAGAAUAAACAUUUCCAUUAAUGAAUGCA
RNA transcript from Oreochromis aureus, 6428 nucleotides. It is a transcript of the gene named epidermal growth factor receptor pathway substrate 15-like 1a, with no coding region annotated. Lineage: Eukaryota; Metazoa; Chordata; Actinopteri; Cichliformes; Cichlidae. The transcript is spliced from 27 exons. The record is from RefSeq and is a predicted model, not a curated record.